ACGGAGGGUGCAAGCGUUAUCCGGAUUCACUGGGUUUAAAGGGUGCGUAGGUGGGUCUGUAAGUCAGUGGUGAAAUCCCCGAGCUUAACUUGGGAACUGCCGUUGAUACUAUAGAUCUUGAAUAUCGUGGAGGUAAGCGGAAUAUGUCAUGUAGCGGUGAAAUGCUUAGAUAUGACAUAGAACACCAAUUGCGAAGGCAGCUUACUACACGAUCAUUGACACUGAGGCACGAAAGCGUGGGGAGCAAACAGGA
Molecule: ribosomal RNA, 253 nt
Filed under: uncultured prokaryote
Description: partial 16S ribosomal RNA
Rfam family: Bacterial small subunit ribosomal RNA
Source: RNAcentral